AGAUACCCCACUAUGCUCAGCCGUAAACUUUAAUUUACACUAAAAUCGCCAGGGAACUAUGAGCUAUGCUUAAAACCCAAAGGACUUGACGGCACCUUAUACCCAACUAGAGGAGCCUGUCCUAUAAUCGAUACUCCCCGUUUAACCUCACCCCUUCUAGCCUAUCAGCCUGUAUACUUCCGUCGUCAGUCCACCACGUGAGCGCUAUUCAGUGGGCCCUUCGGCCAACCCGCACAGACGUCAGGUCAAAGUGCAGCAAAUGGAGGGGGAAGAGAUGGGCUACAUUCUCUAAAAUAGAGUACACGAAUGACUGCAUAUGAAACCCAGUCUGAAGGCGGAUUUAGAAGUAAAGAGAAAUCAGAGAGUUCUCUUUAACCCGGCACUGAGGUGUGUACACACCGCCCGUCACCCUCCUCGAAGCCACUAUAACAGUAAUUAACACCUAUUGCAAAAGAGAGGAGGUAAGUCGUAACA
Molecule: ribosomal RNA, 474 nt
Filed under: Craugastor xucanebi (Xucaneb robber frog)
Lineage: Eukaryota; Metazoa; Chordata; Amphibia; Anura; Craugastoridae
Description: partial 12S ribosomal RNA
Rfam family: Bacterial small subunit ribosomal RNA
Source: RNAcentral